This 468-nucleotide ribosomal RNA is filed under the name uncultured bacterium. RNAcentral describes it as "partial 16S ribosomal RNA". It matches the Rfam family "Bacterial small subunit ribosomal RNA", at positions 28 to 507 of the family's 1533-position model. The record is from RNAcentral.
GACGAACGCUGGCGGCGUGCUUAACACAUGCAAGUCGAACGGAAAGGCCCUGCUUUUGUGGGGUGCUCGAGUGGCGAACGGGUGAGUAACACGUGAGUAACCUGCCUUUGACUUUGGGAUAACUUCAGGAAACUGGGGCUAAUACCGGAUAGGAGCUCCUGCUGCAUGGUGGGGGUUGGAAAGUUUCGGCGGUUGGGGAUGGACUCGCGGCUUAUCAGCUUGUUGGUGGGGUAGUGGCUUACCAAGGCUUUGACGGGUAGCCGGCCUGAGAGGGUGACCGGCCACAAUGGGACUGCGAUACGGCCCAGACUCCUACGGGAGGCAGCAGUGGGGAAUAUUGCACAAUGGGCGGACGCCUGAUGCAGCAACGCCGCGUGCGGGAUGACGGCCUUCGGGUUGUAAACCGCUUUCGCCUGUGACGAAGCGUGAGUGACGGUAAUGGGUAAAGAAGCACCGGCUAACUACGUG